UCUCCGUUGGUGAACCAGCGGAGGGAUCAUUACCGAGUUUACAACUCCCAAACCCCUGUGAACAUACCUGUUUUGUUGCUUCGGCGGUGCCCUCGCUCUCGCGGCGAGGCCCGCCAGAGGACCCAAACAAACUCUUUGACCUUGAUCUAGGAUUAUACUUCUGAGUGAUACAAAAAAUAAAAUCAAAACUUUCAACAACGGAUCUCUUGGUUCUG
RNAcentral lists this unclassified non-coding RNA (215 nucleotides) under plant metagenome. RNAcentral's name for it is "partial contains small subunit ribosomal RNA, internal transcribed spacer 1, and 5.8S ribosomal RNA". The record is from RNAcentral.